Unclassified non-coding RNA from Papio anubis (olive baboon), 117 nucleotides. It matches the Rfam family "Metazoan signal recognition particle RNA". From Rfam's summary of the family: The signal recognition particle (SRP) is a universally conserved ribonucleoprotein. The record is from Ensembl. NCBI's taxonomy places the organism in Eukaryota, Metazoa, Chordata, Mammalia, Primates, Cercopithecidae.
GCCGGGCGUGGUGGCUCACGCCUGUAAUCCCAGCACUUUGGGAGGCUGAGGUGGGUGGAUCACCUGAGGUCAGGAGUUCGAGACCAGCCUGGCCAACAUGGUGAAACCCCAUCUCUA